AUUCACUCUAUGUAAAAAGCAUCUCAGGAAAAAAGAAAAAAAAGAAAGUGUAAAAGUUACUAGACCUGUUUGUAUUCAAACGAGCAGUUUAAUUACCAGAUGAGACAGAGAUCUAACCCCAUACAUAUACCCACAUACAAAUCAUCCUGAAUAUUACUUUCCAGAGAAUUGAAAUCUGGAGGAGAGAAACUCCCUCAUUCUGUCAUCACUGUCUGCUGACUUCGGUGAAACAUAAAGGCGCCCAGGCACAGGAAGGUAAGUGGUAGAAGUAGAAGCCUUGUCAUUACCCAGCAGUAUGGAUCGUGUUAUUGUGUCUGACCCUGAGUUCUGCAUGGUCACCCACCUCUGCAUUGAGUACCCAGGGGAUAAUUCAUCAUAAAUGAAAAUGUUCCCGGUAAAGGUGGGGGGAGGAGUCAUUGGUCAUGGCUAGAGCUGGGAUUUAUUGCAUUAUAAUAAGUUAAUUAACUGCUGCACUCAUUGCAUUUUAAAGAAUGAGAAUAGGUCGGAGGAGCCAAGAUGGCUGAAUAGGAACAGCUCCGGUCUACAGCUCCCAGCGUGAGCGACACAGAAGACGGGUGAUUUCUGCAUUUCCAUCUGAGGUACCAGGUUCAUCUCACUAGGGAGUGCCAGACAGCGGGCGCAGGUCAGUGGGUGCACGCACCAUGCGCGAGCCAAAGCAGGGCGAGGCAUUGCCUCACUUGGGAAGCGCAAAGGGUCAGGGAGUUCCCUUUCCGAGUCAA
Molecule: long non-coding RNA, 740 nt
Filed under: Homo sapiens (human)
Lineage: Eukaryota; Metazoa; Chordata; Mammalia; Primates; Hominidae
Description: HSALNT0010194
Source: RNAcentral